RNAcentral lists this ribosomal RNA (490 nucleotides) under uncultured bacterium. Its description in RNAcentral is "partial 16S ribosomal RNA". It matches the Rfam family "Bacterial small subunit ribosomal RNA", at positions 30 to 507 of the family's 1533-position model. The record is from RNAcentral.
AUUGAACGCUGGCGGCAUGCUUUACACAUGCAAGUCGGACGGCAGCACAGAGAAGCUUGCUUCUUGGGUGGCGAGUGGCGAACGGGUGAGUAAUAUAUCGGAACGUACCGAGUAAUGGGGGAUAACUAAUCGAAAGAUUAGCUAAUACCGCAUAUUCUCUGAGGAGGAAAGCAGGGGACCUUCGGGCCUUGCGUUAUUCGAGCGGCCGAAAUCUGAUUAGCUAGUUGGUGGGGUAAAGGCCUACCAAGGCGACGAUCAGUAGCGGGUCUGAGAGGAUGAUCCGCCACACUGGGACUGAGACACGGCCCAGACUCCUACGGGAGGCAGCAGUGGGGAAUUUUGGACAAUGGGCGCAAGCCUGAUCCAGCCAUGCCGCGUGUCUGAAGAAGGCCUUCGGGUUGUAAAGGACUUUUGUCAGGGAAGAAAAGGCUGUUGCUAAUAUCAAGAGCUGAUGACGGUACCUGAAGAAUAAGCACCGGCUAACUACGUG